ACCAUCCUUCUCUUGGGGUGAGCGACUGUUCAAUGAACGCAUAGUGAGGGCAGUCCUGCUGACACCAAUCACAACACUCACGCAUCACUAGUGUGCAAACACUGGCAAUGGUGCAAUUUUUGGAACC
This is a small nuclear RNA of Spea bombifrons (plains spadefoot toad), 127 nucleotides long. RefSeq annotates it as U4atac minor spliceosomal RNA. The transcript has a single exon. The record is from RefSeq and is a predicted model, not a curated record. Lineage: Eukaryota; Metazoa; Chordata; Amphibia; Anura; Pelobatidae.